AUGUUUAAAAAAACAUAUGCUGAGAACCUGCCUGCACUUGAAGGAAAACAGCAGUGGGAUAUUGUAGACCCUGGUUUCAAACUAAGUCCACCUAUACAGAACAAAGCUGCACCUGGCAGGCCAAGGAAGACAAGAAUUAAGCCAGCAAGUGAAGGAAAAGGACUUGGUCCUAGGAAGAGAAAAUGCAAGAGGUGUGGUGGCUUGGGUCACUUACUGAAAACCUGCAAAAAAGCCAUUGAUCCAGCAUUUGGUGAAGAAGAUGCACACUGGGGAGCUGACAAUGCUGAAGAAGACCCUCCUAACCAAAAUGCAGACCUACAUGAUAAACAACAAGAAGAAGAGGAGCCAUACAGUGAAGAUGAAGCUCCAGUGCAGCCUGCAGGUGAAGAUGAAGCUCUAGUGCAGCCUGCAGGUGAAGAUGAAGCUCCAGUGCAGCCUGGAGGUGCAGAUGAUGCUCCAGUGCACAGGAUGCUCCAGUAG
RNAcentral lists this ribosomal RNA (480 nucleotides) under Triticum aestivum (bread wheat). Its description in RNAcentral is "partial small subunit ribosomal RNA". The record is from RNAcentral. Lineage: Eukaryota; Viridiplantae; Streptophyta; Magnoliopsida; Poales; Poaceae.